UACAGAGGGGGCAAGCGUUGUUCGGAAUUACUGGGCGUAAAGGGCGCGUAGGCGGCCUGUUAAGUCGAACGUGAAAUCCCCGGGCUCAACCCGGGAACUGCGUCCGAUACUGGCAGGCUUGAAUCCGGGAGAGGGAUGCGGAAUUCCAGGUGUAGCGGUGAAAUGCGUAGAUAUCAGGAGGAACACCGGUGGCGAAGGCGGUUCUCUGGGCAUUACCUGACGCUGAGGAGCGAAAGUGUGGGGAGCGAACAGG
This 253-nucleotide ribosomal RNA is filed under the name uncultured bacterium. Its description in RNAcentral is "partial 16S ribosomal RNA". It matches the Rfam family "Bacterial small subunit ribosomal RNA", at positions 524 to 776 of the family's 1533-position model. The record is from RNAcentral.